This 207-nucleotide ribosomal RNA is filed under the name uncultured bacterium. RNAcentral's name for it is "partial 16S ribosomal RNA". It matches the Rfam family "Bacterial small subunit ribosomal RNA", at positions 568 to 774 of the family's 1533-position model. The record is from RNAcentral.
CUCGUAGGCGGUCCGUCACGUCGGAUGUGAAAUUCCAGGGCUCAACCCUGGACCUGCAUUCGAUACGGGCGGACUAGAGUUCGGUAGGGGAGACUGGAAUUCCUGGUGUAGCGGUGAAAUGCGCAGAUAUCAGGAGGAACACCGGUGGCGAAGGCGGGUCUCUGGGCCGAUACUGACGCUGAGGAGCGAAAGCGUGGGGAGCGAACA